UGAGGAAUAUUGGUCAAUGGGCUUACGCCUGAACCAGCCAAGUCGCGUGAGGGAAGACUGCCCUAUGGGUUGUAAACCUCUUUGUCAGGGAGCAACGCCGGCUACGUGUAGCCGGACUGAGAGUACCUGAAGAAAAAGCAUCGGCUAACUCCGUGCC
Molecule: ribosomal RNA, 157 nt
Filed under: uncultured bacterium
Lineage: Bacteria
Description: partial 16S ribosomal RNA
Rfam family: Bacterial small subunit ribosomal RNA
Source: RNAcentral